GUUCCUCACUUCAGCCCUGAUGUCUGCAUCUCCUCUGUACCAACUCUUGGUGUUUUCUCUCUGAAGACCUUCUCUAGAGACUCGGACUGACUCACUUUACAAAGUCUGCUGUCUAAGAUGGAGCACAAGUUUCCCAGAUGCAAGAUAUUCACCCCAAGAAUUUACUGUUGGUACUCCUUGUGUGGACAUCAU
Molecule: long non-coding RNA, 192 nt
Organism: Cebus imitator (Panamanian white-faced capuchin)
Lineage: Eukaryota; Metazoa; Chordata; Mammalia; Primates; Cebidae
Exons: 3
Source: RefSeq, a predicted model, not a curated record